AGUAAUGCUUGGGAAUCUAGCUUAUGGAGGGGGAUAACUAUGGGAAACUGUAGCUAAUACCGCGUAGAAUCGGGAGAUGAAAGUGUGGGACCUUCGGGCCACAUGCCAUAGGAUGAGCCCAAGUGGGAUUAGGUAGUUGGUGAGGUAAAGGCUCGCCAAGCCGACGAUCUCUAGCUGGUCUGAGAGGAUGACCAGCCACACUGGGACUGAGACACGGCCCAG
RNAcentral lists this ribosomal RNA (222 nucleotides) under uncultured bacterium. RNAcentral describes it as "partial 16S ribosomal RNA". It matches the Rfam family "Bacterial small subunit ribosomal RNA", at positions 109 to 334 of the family's 1533-position model. The record is from RNAcentral.